GAUGAACGCUGGCGGCGUGCCUAAUACAUGCAAGUCGAGCGAACGGGCGAGAAUCUUGCUUCUCUGAUGUUAGCGGCGGACGGGUGAGUAACACGUGGAUAACCUACCUAUAAGACUGGGAUAACUUCGGGAAACCGGAGCUAAUACCGGAUAAUAUUUUGAACCGCAUGGUUCAAAAGUGAAAGACGGUCUUGCUGUCACUUAUAGAUGGAUCCGCGCUGCAUUAGCUAGUUGGUAAGGUAACGGCUUACCAAGGCAACGAUGCAUAGCCGACCUGAGAGGGUGAUCGGCCACACUGGAACUGAGACACGGUCCAGACUCCUACGGGAGGCAGCAGUAGGGAAUCUUCCGCAAUGGGCGAAAGCCUGACGGAGCAACGCCGCGUGAGUGAUGAAGGUCUUCGGAUCGUAAAACUCUGUUAUUAGGGAAGAACAUAUGUGUAAGUAACUGUGCACAUCUUGACGGUACCUAAUCAGAAAGCCACGGCUAACUACGUG
Molecule: ribosomal RNA, 497 nt
Filed under: uncultured bacterium
Lineage: Bacteria
Description: partial 16S ribosomal RNA
Rfam family: Bacterial small subunit ribosomal RNA
Source: RNAcentral